CUUUGCUAAUAUUGGCAUAGUAUCAUUUAUAGAGAAGGCUCUCUGAAAAAGGGUCUUACUGUGUUAUCCUGAGUCAGUAUUUGAUUGUUCAGUGUGGAACGGAAAAACCUCAGUUCACUAUUGACUUUGGCACAAGAAUAGACAGUGGCUCCUUGACCCUGUGGAUGUGAAAAGUAAAUUAGUCAAGAAAUCAUACUUUGGGUUUAAAAUUACAGUGCUUAAUUAUUACAUUUAAUUAAAAGAAAUACGUAAAAAAAAAAAAAAAACUCGAUUUGAUCACUUACACGCUUGUCUCGAGAGAGGCCUGCUCCGAUGUAACCAUCUGUCUCACCACUGAUCUCAAAAGUAAAAUUAUCUGCAUUUCCACCUACUCCUCUUGUAGAGAGGAAAUAGCAGGAACCUUGUGCACUUGGAUUACAGGAAGGUGGAGCAGAGAAACAUGCUCUAUCCCUCUUGCAGUUAUCCCUGCCAGUGAUUUCCUGCAAUCAAAAAGAACUUGAGCUUUAACAGCCAAGAUUGUCAUUUCCAUUUUUAAACAGGAAAAAGACUUGACUUACUAUUGAUUGAGUAUUAGAACUUGACGUUUUUAUAAUGUUUGUUACAGUGAGGGGGCCUGACUGGGUCGGGUUUGCGGUGAUGUUGGCAGGGCUUGUUUGGUUCAGGUUGGUGGUUAUGUUGGGAGGCUGUGUUUGGGUCGAGUUGGUGGUUAUGUUGGGAGGCUGUGUUUGGGUCGAGUUGGUGGUUAUGUUGGGAGGCUGUGUUUGGGUCGAGUUGGUGGUUAUGUUGGGAGGCUGUGUUUGGGUCAGGUUGGUGGUUAUGUUGGGAGGCUGUGUUUGGGGCAGGAUGUUGGUUAUGUUGGCAAGGCUUGUUUGGUUCAGGUUGGUGGUUAUGUUGGGAGGCUGUGUUUGGGGCGAGUUGGUGGUUAUGUUGGGAGGCUGUGUUUGGGUUCAGGUUGGUGGUUAUGUUGGGAGGGAGUGUCUGGGUCAGGUUGGUGGUCAUGUUAGAAGAUAUCCAGCUGCCUAUGGAGUUGCUACUGCUCGUUGUAUUGUUCCCAUUGACUCCAAUCAUCAUGCAUGCUAUCCCCAGGAUAGCCACAAAGAUCAAAUUGCUCCUCAUGAGUUACGUUUAUGAGCUUAUAUAUCUGUUAAUCCUGCAGUUUUUG
RNAcentral lists this long non-coding RNA (1162 nucleotides) under Sinocyclocheilus anshuiensis. RNAcentral describes it as "lncRNA (ENSSANG00000043998.1)". The record is from RNAcentral. Lineage: Eukaryota; Metazoa; Chordata; Actinopteri; Cypriniformes; Cyprinidae.